This 329-nucleotide ribosomal RNA is filed under the name uncultured eukaryote. Its description in RNAcentral is "partial 18S ribosomal RNA". It matches the Rfam family "Eukaryotic small subunit ribosomal RNA", at positions 1470 to 1796 of the family's 1831-position model. The record is from RNAcentral.
CCCUUAGAUGUUCUGGGCCGCACGCGCGCUACACUGAUGCAUUCAACGAGUCUAAAACCUGCUCUGAUAGGGGUGGGUAAUCUUUUGAAUGUGCAUCGUGAUUGGGAUAGAUGAUUGCAAUUUUUCAUCUUCAACGAGGAAUGCCUAGUAAACGCAAGUCAUCAGCUUGCAUUGAUUACGUCCCUGCCCUUUAUACACACCGCCCGUCGCUCCUACCGAUUGAAUGAUCCGAUGAAUAUCAUGGAUUGAGGAUGCAAGUAGGUUAGCCUAUCUUCAUCUUCGAGAAGUGAAGUAAAUCUUAUCAUUUAGAGGAAGGAGAAGUCGUAACA